RNAcentral lists this ribosomal RNA (579 nucleotides) under uncultured bacterium. Its description in RNAcentral is "bacterial SSU rRNA". It matches the Rfam family "Bacterial small subunit ribosomal RNA", at positions 914 to 1503 of the family's 1533-position model. The record is from RNAcentral.
CGGGACCCGCACAGCGGUGGAUGAUGUGUUUAUCGAUGCAACGCGAAAACCUACCCACCUUUGACAUGGCAGAACUUACCAGAGAUGGUUUGGUGCUCGAAAGAGAACUGCACACAGGUGCUGCAUGGCUGUCGUCAGCUCGUGUCGUGAGAUGUUGGGUUAAGUCCCGCAACGAGCGCAACCCUUGCCAUUAGUUGCUACAUUCAGUUGAGCACUCUAAUGGGACUGCCGGUGACAAACCGGAGGAAGGUGGGGAUGACGUCAAGUCCUCAUGGCCCUAUAGGUGGGGCUACACACGUCAUACAAUGGCUGGUACAAAGGGUUGCCAACCCGCGAGGGGGAGCUAAUCCCAUAAAGCCAGUCGUAGUCCGGAUCGCAGUCUGCAACUCGACUGCGUGAAGUCGGAAUCGCUAGUAAUCGUGGAUCAGAAUGUCACGGUGAAUACGUUCCCGGGUCUUGUACACACCGCCCGUCACACCAUGGGAGCGGGUCUCGCCAGAAGUAGGUAGCCUAACCGCAAGGAGGGCGCUUACCACGGCGGGGUUCGUGACUGGGGUGAAGUCGUAACAAGGUAACCUA